Molecule: transfer RNA, 86 nt
Filed under: Immundisolibacterales bacterium
Lineage: Bacteria; Pseudomonadati; Pseudomonadota; Gammaproteobacteria; Immundisolibacterales
Description: tRNA-Leu
Rfam family: tRNA
About the family: Transfer RNA (tRNA) molecules are approximately 80 nucleotides in length. Their secondary structure includes four short double-helical elements and three loops (D, anti-codon, and T loops).
Source: RNAcentral
GCCCGGAUGGCGGAAUCAGGUAGACGCAGCGGACUUAAAAUCCGCCGGCCUCGGCCGUGCCGGUUCGAAUCCGGCUCCGGGCACCA